GACGAACGCUGGCGGCGUGCCUAAUACAUGCAAGUUGAGCGCUGAAGGUUGGUACUUGUGGCAACUGGAUGAGCAGCGAACGGGUGAGUAACGCGUGGGGAAUCUGCCUUUGAGCGGGGGACAACAUUUGGAAACGAAUGCUAAUACCGCAUAAAAACUUUAAACACAAGGUUGAAGUGUGAAAGAUGCAAUUGCAUCAUGCAAAGAUGAUCCCGCGUUGUAUUAGCUAGUUGGUGAGGUAAAGGCUCACCAAGGCGAUGAUACAUAGCCGCCCUGAGAGGGUGGUCAGCCACACUGGGACUGUGACACGGCCCAAACGCCUUCGGGUGGCAGCAGUACGGAAUCGUCGGCAAGGAGUGAAAGUCUGACCGCGAAACGCCGCGUCAGGGAAGAAGGUUGUCGGAUCGUAAAACUCGGUUGUUAGGUUGGAACGUUGGUGAGAGUGGAAAGCUCAUCAAGUGACGGUAACUACUCAGAAAGCGACGGCUAACUACGUG
Molecule: ribosomal RNA, 497 nt
Filed under: uncultured bacterium
Lineage: Bacteria
Description: partial 16S ribosomal RNA
Rfam family: Bacterial small subunit ribosomal RNA
Source: RNAcentral